AAAAAGUCAAAUCCUGGGUUUUCGUAUCCAACUUUGACUGUCCGUUUUAUAUGAAUUUUUUUUAUAAUUCGUAUUUUCAUUGUUGUUUGAUGAUAAACAUGAUUAAUAUUUUAUGCGUGACUUGUCUUUUAAAUUUUUUCAUAAUUUUUUCAAAUAAGACGGACGGUUAAACGUUGAACACGGAAACCAGGGUUUGUCUUUUU
RNAcentral lists this microRNA precursor (203 nucleotides) under Oryza rufipogon (brownbeard rice). Its description in RNAcentral is "MIR812 microRNA precursor family". It matches the Rfam family "MIR812 microRNA precursor family". Lineage: Eukaryota; Viridiplantae; Streptophyta; Magnoliopsida; Poales; Poaceae. The record is from Rfam by way of RNAcentral.